RNAcentral lists this long non-coding RNA (1029 nucleotides) under Homo sapiens (human). RNAcentral's name for it is "HSALNT0388757". The record is from RNAcentral. Lineage: Eukaryota; Metazoa; Chordata; Mammalia; Primates; Hominidae.
GGAAGAGACCAUAGACUCAACAGGAGGGGGAGUCCUGGGUAGCGCGCCGGUCUAAAUCGUUACUUGGCGGAAAGUUCCCAUGAGUCUUUGCCAGCGUCCCCCUCCUUUUGUGAGGAUUGGGAUAUUCCGACUCCUUAAGGGCCUGGCGCACAUAAGGGCCACAUCUGCCAGAGCCUGGAGUCUGCGAAGGCCGGGACCCGGUUCCCCGGCCCACAGUGGGGGUGUGCAAACCCGAGAGAACUGGGUUGCAAAUUCGUGAAGAAUCAGCAUCAUGUUUGGCAGCUGAGUAUUGGAGCCAGGAGCCUGCCAUGAGGUUUUGAGAACAGAGUGCUGUUUUAGAGCUGGCAGCAGCAUCUCAGCCCAAGAGAAGUUUCUUUGCAGGUUAUAUUCCCAGAGGAUGUCAGUCCCAAGGACCAGUAGCUGCCAUCAGUUUGGAUUCUGAAAACUAACUGGCAUCAACACUGGGUGUAGAAACAUGCUUGCCUUAUGUAUCAGAGGACAUGCUCAGCAGAUCCAAGAGAUAUAUUUGGCAACUUUUUCUAGAAAAGGCACAUUGGCCGAUGCAGCCUCAGUGUUCCUUUGCCUUGGGGGUUUCUGAGUGGUGGGGUUGUAAGCAGAUCCUGCCAGGCACCCAGAAGGAAACCUCAUCAGGACUCCCUCAGAAAGCAGGCCCUGAAGAAUCCUGUGACCUUCAUCUAAAGUAGGUCAUGAGACCCCUGAGCUUAAAACGGAGUGAUCGGCUUUGGAGAAAAAUCCCUGGAAGGCACGCAGGCUGGACAUCAUCAUAUAUUCUCUACAGAUGGAGACACCAAGGCCCACGCCUUCUGUGCUGUUGGAAUUUCAGGAAGGAUGGGGGUGGGGCACGGCCUCAGCCCUGGGCAUGUUCUGCAGAUUGCACUGCUCUUAUCUGCCAGGGGGUGGUGAGAGGGUGGCUGAGCUGGACAGAUGGCGGGCAGGGACGGGCUCUGCGGUCUGGCAGCUGACAUUGAUACAAGCAAAAAAAGAGUCUUUGCUGGGGGCUCUGGAGGG